CUAGCUACUUUAAUCACCAUGGGUAUUUUGUCAGAAUAGGUGAGGUUGGGGUAGGGGAAGUGUCCUGUGACUGUCUGGAGAAGAGCCCAAAGCAACUGAACAUUUAGUCUCUUCACUGGUGCUGGCUUUGGGGGCCAGGACUAGGGCCUGGGGCCUGCUCUUUGGACUUGGCUGAGUGCCCAGGCCUGGCCUCUGUCUCCCAGAAUCAGACAGGGGCCUUUCCCAAUAAGGAGCUUCCCAACUCUGGGUCCACUUCCCUGUUGCCCCCACCCCUUCUCCCCUCUAACAGUUCUUCUGCCCUAAAAUGGCCACGUUUUGCCUUUCUUCCCUCCCCUACACCCAGGUUUGGGCCCCAGGGGUAGAGCUGGGGGUUGGAUAAGGGUAAGACUGCACAGGGGCCAGAUGGGCUGGUUUGGAGAAGGGUAAUGAGAUCCCAGGAAGAGAGAGGAACCGUGCCACAUGACUCAGCCACCAAGCAGCCCUAUGGAGAGGCCAAUGUGGAGAGAAACUGAGGCCUUCCACCAAAAGCCAGCACCAACUUGCUAUCCAUGUGAGUGAACCAGCUUGCAGUACAGAGUGGUCAACCCCAGUCAAGCUUUCAGAUAACUACAAGCCUAGUUGACAUCUUGACUACAACUUCAAGAGAGACAUCAAGGCAGAACUGCUUCGCUAAACUGCUCUUGAAUUCUUGACCCACAGAAACUGAGAGAGAGAAUAAAUAUUUAUUGUUGUUUCAAGUAACUACAUCCUGGGGGUAACUUCUUAUGUAUAGAUAAUAUAUACCAUAAAUUUCUUGAAAGUAAGAUUCAUGUCUUACUUAUUUUACCUCAAGUUAUUAUAUCAACUACUCUCCCACCCCUAACCUAGGUGAUUAGAGCAUACUACAACAUCUGAUACAUAAGAAGUGAAAUGAUAUUCUCU
RNAcentral lists this long non-coding RNA (921 nucleotides) under Homo sapiens (human). Its description in RNAcentral is "HSALNT0368462". Lineage: Eukaryota; Metazoa; Chordata; Mammalia; Primates; Hominidae. The record is from RNAcentral.